AUACGUAGGGGGCGAGCGUUGUCCGGAAUGAUUGGGCGUAAAGGGCGCGUAGGCGGCCCGGUAAGUCUGGAGUGAAAGUCCUGUUUUUAAGAUGGGAAUUGCUUUGGAUACUGUCGGGCUUGCGUGCAGGAGAGGUAAGUGGAAUUCCCAGUGUAGCGGUGAAAUGCGUAGAGAUUGGGAGGAACACCAGUGGCGAAGGCGACUUACUGGACUGUAACUGACGCUGAGGCGCGAAAGUGUGGGGAGCAAACAGGAUUAGAUACCCUGGUAGUCCACACUGUAAACGAUGAAUGCUAGGUGUAGGGGGUAUCGACCCCUUCUGUGCCGCAGUCAACACAAUAAGCAUUCCGCCUGGGGAGUACGGCCGCAAGGUUGAAACUCAAAGGAAUUGACGGGG
RNAcentral lists this ribosomal RNA (397 nucleotides) under uncultured bacterium. RNAcentral's name for it is "partial 16S ribosomal RNA". It matches the Rfam family "Bacterial small subunit ribosomal RNA", at positions 523 to 918 of the family's 1533-position model. The record is from RNAcentral.